UACGUAGGGGGCUAGCGUUGUCCGGAUUUAUUGGGCGUAAAGAGCGUGUAGGCGGUUCGGUAAGUCUGCCGUGAAAACCCAGGGCUCAACCCUGGGCGUGCGGUGGAUACUGCCGAGCUAGAGGGUGGUAGAGGCGAGUGGAAUUCCCGGUGUAGCGGUGAAAUGCGCAGAUAUCGGGAGGAACACCAGUAGCGAAGGCGGCUCGCUGGGCCAUACCUGACGCUGAGACGCGAAAGCGUGGGGAGCAAACAGG
Molecule: ribosomal RNA, 253 nt
Filed under: uncultured bacterium
Lineage: Bacteria
Description: partial 16S ribosomal RNA
Rfam family: Bacterial small subunit ribosomal RNA
Source: RNAcentral